RNAcentral lists this long non-coding RNA (592 nucleotides) under Neogobius melanostomus (round goby). Its description in RNAcentral is "lncRNA (ENSNMLG00000015453.1)". Lineage: Eukaryota; Metazoa; Chordata; Actinopteri; Gobiiformes; Gobiidae. The record is from RNAcentral.
UUUUACUUUAGGUUAUCUGACUCACCCUCUUACUUACCCGCACUCUUCAGGCCCAACCUGGAGAACAUCAUUGGGUCACAUGUCUCAGGAGGGUACCGCCCUGAAGGCCCUCGCGCCGUGUUGAGAGACCGGUACACCCCAUCUCCAGAGCCCCCCCAGUGGAAUAACAGGGAGCCAGAAAGAUAUUCUCCUGAACCGGAGGAUCUGUACGACUUACAGAUGAAUCCAGGGCCUCCUCCGCCCUCAGACACCGGCAGAAACAUAGAAAUAUUUAACCAUGUUUUGAAUGACCUGGAAAUCUUCAUGGAAAGUGUGACUUCAGCACUGAAUGCAGCUCCUCAGAACCCAGAGACAAAGAAAAAGAAGUCAAAAAAGAAAAAAGGUACAGUACUUUUAUUUUUCUCCGUUUUAUAUGUCAUGACAAAGAGCUACUCAUGUGUUGCAUUUAAAUAGCCUCUGAAGCUCAGCCUGCAGUCACUCUGCCAUCAUGGGACCAGUACACGGCCUUUCUUCAGAAAGUGAAAUACGGAUUCAAUCUUCUGGUAAAUCGUUUUUCUCUUCUCCCUUAUGGCUCUGAGCAAUGUACAGUAAU